Abrus precatorius (Indian licorice) is the source of this 2110-nucleotide RNA transcript. RefSeq lists it as uncharacterized. The record is from RefSeq and is a predicted model, not a curated record. The transcript has 6 exons. Lineage: Eukaryota; Viridiplantae; Streptophyta; Magnoliopsida; Fabales; Fabaceae.
ACAUGUGACGCUAUAUUGCAAUAGAAUCAUCUUGUGUGGAUGAGAAAGCAGAACAUAAACUUCUGAGGAGCAUCGACACAGUAUUAGCAAUGAUACUGAUUAGCCACAGCCAAGCUCCUUGCGGAGCCAUGUUUUCAAAGUGUUCUCUAUCGACUCCACCCAAAUUCAUCACAGCAACAAACCCACUACGAUUCUCGAAUCUUCUACCCAAAUUCAUUGAUACCUCAAGAAUCUCCGUAAGAGCCAAAGCACAGGGAAACAUCGAUUCAGGUUCAGCCACCAAUUCCUCUUCUUCUCCUUUUGACAAUGAACAAACGGUUUUCGUGGGUGGCGAGGAUGUUCCAUUGGAGGGUGUUAUCCAGUUCGACAAACCCACCUCUUCUUCUCCUCUUGAAAAAUGGGGACGUGUGGCUCUGCUAGCUAGUGUGGAUGUGUUGGCCUUGCUUUUGUUUGCAACGAUUGGAAGAUAUAGUCAUGGCCUCUCUAUUUUGGACAUUGAGACUCUGCGCACUGCUGAUCCUUUUAUAGCUGGGUGGUUUUUGGGUGCUUACUUGCUUGGAGGUUAUGGGGAGGAUGGCCGUGGGAUGAAGGGUCUCCCCAAUGGAGUCAUUGCUACUGCUAAGUCAUGGGCUCUUGGGAUCCCUAUAGGAAUAGUAAUAAGAGCAGCAACAUCAGGAAAUCUCCCGAAUUAUGGUUUUGUAUUUGUGAGUCUGGGAAGCACUGCUGUUUUACUUAUUUCAUUCAGAGCAUUACUAUAUACUAUUCUACCAGUAGAUAAAAGUAAGAAGAAUGAUGACUAUCGCCGUGGCAGUCCCUUUGAACUCUUUGAGCUGCUCACAUCAUUAGUACGGCGGUGGUAACAAUUGGUUGCAUGUCCAAGGCACCAUAAUGUAUUAACGACUAAAAUAAAACAAAGAUAGUGAUGUAGAACAGCAGCACAAGAGAAAUAAGAAAAGGAGAUAGCUAGCCUUUUUAUUAGCAACAGAUUGGAACUUGAUUACUUUGAAGAAUGGACUUUGACAGACACUAGAAAUGACACUGAAAUGGAUAUUCGGACACACACGUAGUGAAAACGGGAUCCAUUUCCCUACAUCUUAUGAAAAGGGAUAUAGGACAAUUGAUGGGUUUAAGGCUGAAGGCUAGAAAUUUUCCUAGCAUUUAGUAGCAAUUGUAAUUGACAACUUAAGAUUUUCUUAUAGAUUGGUUAUAAUGUCUUAUUUCUGCCUUGGAAUCUACUACACAGUUCAUUCAGCAAAGGAAGAGCUUAAUGAGUUGAAUGGUAAGAUUGGUAAGUGAUAAUGUAAUUUAUUACCAUAGUGGUGCAAGAAUCUUUUUGCAUUUGAAAAUAAGAAAACAGCCACCUUCCUCUGUAAAUAAAUAUGACACACCUCUUUUUUUUUUAAUUCAUUCAUCUGAACUAUCUACCAGACCAGUCAUGUUCAUCAAGGAAGCUAAUAUUGGACCUAAUCCCAAGUAUAUCUGUUCACUCUGCGAUGAUAUGCUUCUUAAACAACACCCUUUAUUGCUUGUGUGGUUACUUGGAGUAUAUGACAUUAUGUGGUUAGGACAACAGUUUUAGUUAUUUUGCCUACUUGAAUUGCUGGCUCUAAAAUAAGAGUUUUGCUAUGUAGUACCAACACUUGUCACACGAAAUUUGACAAAAAGCAACGUGUUUAAAUAGUAUUGGUUGAAUAAUAAUAAUAAUAACAAUGAAAGAAGAAGAAGAAGAAGAAUGGCUGCUGCUUGUUCAAAGGAGCAAUUAGAGGGUUGGGGGAAUAUUUGGAGUUUCGAAUUUUCAGGUUACUGAAUCUUCAAAAUAAGCAAAAUUAAAUUGAUGUUGAGCAAAUCACCACCAUUUUGUGCGUUGGGUCAACGACACUGUUAACUAUCGAUUUUGAGGCUUGCAGCAGAAUUUUAUAGUUUGUGGGUCAAUCUAUUAGGCCUUAAGUUUAUAUACCCUUUAUGUGAAUUUUUGGUAUUAGUUUACAUUGGCGUUGUUAACGUCUUUGUCCGUUUAAAUCACUAGAAUGACAGAAUGUAUAUUAUUAGUGCAUUGCUAUUUUCAGUUGUACAUGGUUCUGAAAGUAAAUAAUCAAUCAUUUAUUACUCU